GACUUGGUAGCCUAGUUGGUAAAGGCAGCACUUCUAGUAUAAUUUCUUAGGCUCUAGCUAAGUUCACUGGUUCAACUCCUGCCCAAGUUA
Transfer RNA from Puccinia sorghi, 90 nucleotides. It matches the Rfam family "tRNA". From Rfam's summary of the family: Transfer RNA (tRNA) molecules are approximately 80 nucleotides in length. Their secondary structure includes four short double-helical elements and three loops (D, anti-codon, and T loops). Further hydrogen bonds mediate the characteristic L-shaped molecular structure. tRNAs have two regions of fundamental functional importance: the anti-codon, which is responsible for specific mRNA codon recognition, and the 3' end, to which the tRNAs corresponding amino acid is attached (by aminoacyl-tRNA synthetases). tRNAs cope with the degeneracy of the genetic code in two manners: having more than one tRNA (with a specific anti-codon) for a particular amino acid; and 'wobble' base-pairing, i.e. permitting non-standard base-pairing at the 3rd anti-codon position. Lineage: Eukaryota; Fungi; Basidiomycota; Pucciniomycetes; Pucciniales; Pucciniaceae. The record is from Rfam.